GAUGAACGCUGGCGGCGUGCCUAAUACAUGCAAGUCGAACGGAGUAUGCAGCAAUGCAUGCUUAGUGGCGAACGGGUGAGUAACGCGUUGGUGACCUGCCCCGAAGAGAGGGAUAACAGAUCGAAAGGUCUGCUAAUACCGCAUAAUCUGCACCUAGUUAGAGAGGGUGCAGGAAAGGAGCAAUCCACUUUGGGAGGGGCCUGCGUCCCAUCAGCUAGUUGGUAAGGUAAAGGCUUACCAAGGCGAAGACGGGUAGGGGACCUGAGAGGGUGGCCCCCCACAAUGGAACUGAAACACGGUCCAUACACCUACGGGUGCUG
This 320-nucleotide ribosomal RNA is filed under the name uncultured Chloroflexota bacterium. RNAcentral describes it as "bacterial SSU rRNA". It matches the Rfam family "Bacterial small subunit ribosomal RNA", at positions 28 to 351 of the family's 1533-position model. Lineage: Bacteria; Bacillati; Chloroflexota. The record is from RNAcentral.